UGUGUGUGUGUGUGUGUAUAUUUCGAAAAAACAAGUUUACAGGCCAAUCUUGUUAGUUCAAGUGCUUAUGAGCUGGGUAUAGGAACUCUUGGUACAGGGUUCAAGCCGUGGGGAUGUUGCCUUGAAAUUUAAAUUUUUUUUAGUGAAGGCAGAACCGGUUUACCCUCUUUGAACCAGACCAGGUUACCAAUUUUCCAACCAAUUCAAGAGGGUCAAUUCCAAUUCUCUAAAAACAAGGGUUUUCAUUAUUUAAAAAACAAAAAGGUUUUCAAUGUAAACCGAACUGGCCAUUGGUUUAGUUCCCAAUUAAACCAGUCCAGUUUUAACAACUAUGCAAACAAUAGAGACUGCUUCAUAAAAUUCACAGCACUGCAACCACAAUGAUUGCUAUUUAAAUCCAUGGAUAUAGAGUUGGAGAUGGAUCUCUCUUUUUUUUUAUUUUUUGUUUUUGGAAGAUUUGAAUUGGUUAUACUAUACAUUACAUUUCCUUUUUUGGCUUUUAGUUUUAUUCUUCUCUACAUGAUGGCUAGGGGACUGUAAAGUAAUAGGUCUGAAUCAAUCUCAAGGAAGUGGAUUGAAACAGAAUUCUCAGAGA
This 595-nucleotide unclassified non-coding RNA is filed under the name Hevea brasiliensis (rubber tree). Lineage: Eukaryota; Viridiplantae; Streptophyta; Magnoliopsida; Malpighiales; Euphorbiaceae. The record is from RNAcentral.